RNAcentral lists this ribosomal RNA (229 nucleotides) under uncultured bacterium. RNAcentral's name for it is "partial 16S ribosomal RNA". It matches the Rfam family "Bacterial small subunit ribosomal RNA", at positions 568 to 796 of the family's 1533-position model. The record is from RNAcentral.
UGCGUAGGCGGGCUAAUAAGUCAGUGGUGAAAUCUCUCGGCUCAACCGGGAAACUGCCAUUGAUACUGUUAGUCUUGAGUUCGGUUGAGGUAGGCGGAAUGUGUAAUGUAGCGGUGAAAUGCUUAGAUAUUACACAGAACACCAAUUGCGUAGGCAGCUUACUAGACCGACACUGACGCUGAGGCACGAAAGCGUGGGAAGCGAACAGGAUUAGAUACCCUGGUAGUCC